RNAcentral lists this ribosomal RNA (135 nucleotides) under Triticum aestivum (bread wheat). RNAcentral describes it as "partial small subunit ribosomal RNA". Lineage: Eukaryota; Viridiplantae; Streptophyta; Magnoliopsida; Poales; Poaceae. The record is from RNAcentral.
AUGCUUCCCCUCCCUCCAAGGCGCCUACUUGGAUCGCUGCCUCAUCUUUCGGCGCUUCCUCUUGAGCCUCCUCAUCCUCUUCUUCUUCCACUGCACAUUAAGACGAAAUGCAGAUCAUCAGUACAAAUUGCAUAG